RNAcentral lists this ribosomal RNA (639 nucleotides) under Triticum aestivum (bread wheat). Its description in RNAcentral is "partial small subunit ribosomal RNA". The record is from RNAcentral. Lineage: Eukaryota; Viridiplantae; Streptophyta; Magnoliopsida; Poales; Poaceae.
AUGAAUCGGCAAUGGAUGUACGGUCCCCGACUCUCCGGCGAGUUCACUACAGGUUUGAAAGAUUUCCUCGUAGUGGCAAAUGCGAACAAGCAGCAAGGUUUUAUUAUCUGUCCAUGUGCUGUCUGUAAGAAUCAGAAGGGUUACUCCUCCUCAAGAGACGUUCACAUGCACCUGCUUCGGCACGGUUUCAUGCGAAGCUAUAAUUGUUGGACCAAGCAUGGAGAAAGAGGGGUUAGAAUGGAAGAAGAUGAAGAAGGGGAUGAUAUCGAUGACAACUAUCAUGAUCAUUUCGGUGAUACUUUCAUGGAGGAUGAUGCUGAAGGUGGGGAAGGGUUAGGUGAAGGUGAAGAAGAGGCACAUGAUGAGCCCGCUGAUGAUCUUGGUCGGACCAUUGCUGAUGCACGGAGACGCUGCGAAACUGACAAGGAUAGGGAGAAUUUGGAUCGCAUGUUAGAGGAUCACAAAAAGUCGUUGUAUCCAGGAUGCGAUAAUAGUCUGAAAAAGCUGGGCUGCACACUGGAUUUGCUAAAAUGGAAGGCACAGGAAGGUGUAGGUGACUCAUCAUUUGAAAAUUUGCUGAAAAUGUUGAAGAAUAUGUUUCCUAAGAAUAACGAGUUGCCCGCCAGUACGUACGAAGCA